GCUGGUGCCGACGAUCGCCGGGA
This 23-nucleotide microRNA is filed under the name Meleagrid alphaherpesvirus 1 (Turkey herpesvirus). RNAcentral's name for it is "hvt-miR-H5-5p". Its record names the gene hvt-miR-H5-5p. Lineage: Duplodnaviria; Heunggongvirae; Peploviricota; Herviviricetes; Herpesvirales; Orthoherpesviridae. The record is from miRBase by way of RNAcentral.